Molecule: ribosomal RNA, 468 nt
Filed under: uncultured bacterium
Lineage: Bacteria
Description: partial 16S ribosomal RNA
Rfam family: Bacterial small subunit ribosomal RNA
Source: RNAcentral
GACGAACGCUGGCGGCGUGCUUAACACAUGCGAGUCGAACGGAAAGGCCCUGCUUUUGUGGGGUGCUCGAGUGGCGAACGGGUGAGUAACACGUGAGUAACCUGCCCUUGACUUUGGGAUAACUUCAGGAAACUGGGGCUAAUACCGGAUAGGAGCUCCUGCUGCAUGGUGGGGGUUGGAAAGUUUCGGCGGGUGGGGAUGGACUCGCGGCUUAUCAGCUUGUUGGUGGGGUAGUGGCUUACCAAGGCUUUGACGGGUAGCCGGCCUGAGAGGGUGACCGGCCACAUUGGGACUGCGAUACGGCCCAGACUCCUACGGGAGGCAGCAGUGGGGAAUAUUGCACAAUGGGCGGAAGCCUGAUGCAGCAACGCCGCGUGCGGGAUGACGGCCUUCGGGUUGUAAACCGCUUUCGCCUGUGACGAAGCGUGAGUGACGGUAAUGGGUAAAGAAGCACCGGCUAACUACGUG